CAUGUCACCAACCCAGCAGCCCCCACCAGUAUCCAUCAUCCCUCCUCUUUUUCGUCCUGCCUGUGGAACUCAGCUGUCCCACGUGAGUGAGGAAAUAGGGGCCAAUAGAGCCUUCUAGCAAGAAGCCUUAAGUAGGAAACGUAAACACCUGCUAACUACAAUGGAUAAAUUUCACCAUCUUGCUCUAGCUGCAAAACCGGGACCGGUAUCACUGAAGUCAACCUUCCUAGAUGUAGUCCUAUGUUUAAGUUUGCUGGGCUAGGCAUUGUGGGGAAUCCCAAAUGAGCCUGAGAUGUGGAAAUGCCAACGUGGAACUUUCCUGGAAGACAUGAUACAUACAAAGGAUUCUCUCAUGCCGGUAUUUAAGAUCUGCCCGAACCUUCAUUUUCACAUCAGAUACUCAUGUCUUCUUACUUGACCAGAAAGAGAUGAUUACCACCCACCCACGGAUGGGGACAGUGAAGGAGG
Hyaena hyaena (striped hyena) is the source of this 468-nucleotide long non-coding RNA. RefSeq lists it as uncharacterized. The record is from RefSeq and is a predicted model, not a curated record. The transcript is spliced from 4 exons. Lineage: Eukaryota; Metazoa; Chordata; Mammalia; Carnivora; Hyaenidae.